This 253-nucleotide ribosomal RNA is filed under the name uncultured bacterium. RNAcentral describes it as "partial 16S ribosomal RNA". It matches the Rfam family "Bacterial small subunit ribosomal RNA", at positions 524 to 776 of the family's 1533-position model. The record is from RNAcentral.
UACGGAGGGUGCAAGCGUUAUCCGGAUUUACUGGGUUUAAAGGGUGCGUAGGUGGUCAGGUAAGUCAGUGGUGAAAUCUCCGAGCUUAACUCGGAAACUGCCAUUGAUACUAUCUGUCUUGAAUAUCCUGGAGGUAAGCGGAAUAUGUCAUGUAGCGGUGAAAUGCUUAGAUAUGACAUAGAACACCAAUUGCGAAGGCAGCUUACUACGGGAUUAUUGACACUGAGGCACGAAAGCGUGGGGAUCAAACAGG